RNAcentral lists this long non-coding RNA (298 nucleotides) under Elaeis guineensis (African oil palm). RNAcentral's name for it is "long non-coding RNA (EGUI_LNC039188)". The record is from RNAcentral. Lineage: Eukaryota; Viridiplantae; Streptophyta; Magnoliopsida; Arecales; Arecaceae.
AGCCUAGCAUGAUCUCAGUUCCCCAAAAAAUAUAUCAUGAACGGUGAGUAGAUGAAGCAAGUGCUCAAAUCUUAGCAUGUCUGAUAAGACAUAUCUCCACUAUUCCAUUCAAUAGAUAAAAAAAGAGCUCAACUGCUCAUUCAAUAAUCUGAUCAUCUCAAUCAUGAAAAUUCUCAUACUCGUCUCUAUAUAAAUAUUAGUCACAAAGAACCCUCGGGUAUGACAAAAGAAACCCCAUACAUACUACUUCUCUCUCUCAUAUCUUUCUCUUGAAACUUCUACUUGACUUAAGCACCGG